This 2712-nucleotide ribosomal RNA is filed under the name Klebsiella pneumoniae. Its description in RNAcentral is "partial 23S ribosomal RNA". It matches the Rfam family "Bacterial large subunit ribosomal RNA". The record is from RNAcentral. Lineage: Bacteria; Pseudomonadati; Pseudomonadota; Gammaproteobacteria; Enterobacterales; Enterobacteriaceae.
CCGGCGAUGUCCGAAUGGGGAAACCCAGUGCAAUUCGUUGCACUAUCGUUAACUGAAUACAUAGGUUAACGAGGCGAACCGGGGGAACUGAAACAUCUAAGUACCCCGAGGAAAAGAAAUCAACCGAGAUUCCCCCAGUAGCGGCGAGCGAACGGGGAGCAGCCCAGAGUCUGAAUCAGCUUGUGUGUUAGUGGAACGGUCUGGAAAGUCCGACGGUACAGGGUGAUAGUCCCGUACACCAAAAUGCACAGGCUGUGAACUCGAAGAGUAGGGCGGGACACGUGGUAUCCUGUCUGAAUAUGGGGGGACCAUCCUCCAAGGCUAAAUACUCCUGACUGACCGAUAGUGAACCAGUACCGUGAGGGAAAGGCGAAAAGAACCCCGGCGAGGGGAGUGAAAAAGAACCUGAAACCGUGUACGUACAAGCAGUGGGAGCACCUUCGGGUGUGACUGCGUACCUUUUGUAUAAUGGGUCAGCGACUUAUAUUCUGUAGCAAGGUUAACCGUAUAGGGGAGCCGCAGGGAAACCGAGUCUUAACUGGGCGUUAAGUUGCAGGGUAUAGACCCGAAACCCGGUGAUCUAGCCAUGGGCAGGUUGAAGGUUGGGUAACACUAACUGGAGGACCGAACCGACUAAUGUUGAAAAAUUAGCGGAUGACUUGUGGCUGGGGGUGAAAGGCCAAUCAAACCGGGAGAUAGCUGGUUCUCCCCGAAAGCUAUUUAGGUAGCGCCUCGUGAAUUCAUCUUCGGGGGUAGAGCACUGUUUCGGCUAGGGGGUCAUCCCGACUUACCAACCCGAUGCAAACUACGAAUACCGAAGAAUGUUAUCACGGGAGACACACGGCGGGUGCUAACGUCCGUCGUGAAGAGGGAAACAACCCAGACCGCCAGCUAAGGUCCCAAAGUCAUGGUUAAGUGGGAAACGAUGUGGGAAGGCACAGACAGCCAGGAUGUUGGCUUAGAAGCAGCCAUCAUUUAAAGAAAGCGUAAUAGCUCACUGGUCGAGUCGGCCUGCGCGGAAGAUGUAACGGGGCUAAACCAUGCACCGAAGCUGCGGCAGCGACACUAUGUGUUGUUGGGUAGGGGAGCGUUCUGUAAGCCUGCGAAGGUGUGCUGUGAGGCAUGCUGGAGGUAUCAGAAGUGCGAAUGCUGACAUAAGUAACGAUAAAGCGGGUGAAAAGCCCGCUCGCCGGAAGACCAAGGGUUCCUGUCCAACGUUAAUCGGGGCAGGGUGAGUCGACCCCUAAGGCGAGGCCGAAAGGCGUAGUCGAUGGGAAACAGGUUAAUAUUCCUGUACUUGGUGUUACUGCGAAGGGGGGACGGAGAAGGCUAUGUUAGCCGGGCGACGGUUGUCCCGGUUUAAGCAUGUAGGCUGGUUAUCCAGGCAAAUCCGGAUAAUCAAGGCUGAGGUGUGAUGACGAGGCACUACGGUGCUGAAGUAACAAAUGCCCUGCUUCCAGGAAAAGCCUCUAAGCAUCAGGUAACAUCAAAUCGUACCCCAAACCGACACAGGUGGUCAGGUAGAGAAUACCAAGGCGCUUGAGAGAACUCGGGUGAAGGAACUAGGCAAAAUGGUGCCGUAACUUCGGGAGAAGGCACGCUGGUGUGUAGGUGAAGUCCCUGCGGAUGGAGCUGAGACCAGUCGAAGAUACCAGCUGGCUGCAACUGUUUAUUAAAAACACAGCACUGUGCAAACACGAAAGUGGACGUAUACGGUGUGACGCCUGCCCGGUGCCGGAAGGUUAAUUGAUGGGGUUAUCCGUAAGGAGAAGCUCUUGAUCGAAGCCCCGGUAAACGGCGGCCGUAACUAUAACGGUCCUAAGGUAGCGAAAUUCCUUGUCGGGUAAGUUCCGACCUGCACGAAUGGCGUAAUGAUGGCCAGGCUGUCUCCACCCGAGACUCAGUGAAAUUGAACUCGCUGUGAAGAUGCAGUGUACCCGCGGCAAGACGGAAAGACCCCGUGAACCUUUACUAUAGCUUGACACUGAACAUUGAGCCUUGAUGUGUAGGAUAGGUGGGAGGCUUUGAAGCGUGGACGCCAGUCUGCGUGGAGCCGACCUUGAAAUACCACCCUUUAAUGUUUGAUGUUCUAACGUUGGCCCCUUACCGGGGUUGCGGACAGUGUCUGGUGGGUAGUUUGACUGGGGCGGUCUCCUCCCAAAGCGUAACGGAGGAGCACGAAGGUUAGCUAAUCCUGGUCGGACAUCAGGAGGUUAGUGCAAUGGCAUAAGCUAGCUUGACUGCGAGCGUGACGGCGCGAGCAGGUGCGAAAGCAGGUCAUAGUGAUCCGGUGGUUCUGAAUGGAAGGGCCAUCGCUCAACGGAUAAAAGGUACUCCGGGGAUAACAGGCUGAUACCGCCCAAGAGUUCAUAUCGACGGCGGUGUUUGGCACCUCGAUGUCGGCUCAUCACAUCCUGGGGCUGAAGUAGGUCCCAAGGGUAUGGCUGUUCGCCAUUUAAAGUGGUACGCGAGCUGGGUUUAGAACGUCGUGAGACAGUUCGGUCCCUAUCUGCCGUGGGCGCUGGAGAAUUGAGGGGGGCUGCUCCUAGUACGAGAGGACCGGAGUGGACGCAUCACUGGUGUUCGGGUUGUCAUGCCAAUGGCACUGCCCGGUAGCUAAAUGCGGAAGAGAUAAGUGCUGAAAGCAUCUAAGCACGAAACUUGCCCCGAGAUGAGUUCUCCCUGAGACUUUAAGUCUCCUGAAGGAACGUU